Molecule: ribosomal RNA, 459 nt
Filed under: uncultured bacterium
Lineage: Bacteria
Description: partial 16S ribosomal RNA
Rfam family: Bacterial small subunit ribosomal RNA
Source: RNAcentral
CCUACGGGUGGCAGCAGUGAGGAAUAUUUGUCAAUGGGCGCGAGCCUGAACCAGCCAAGUCGCGUGAGGGAAGACGGUCCUAUGGAUUGUAAACCUCUUUUGUCGGGGAGCAAAAGACGCCACGCGUGGCGUUCCGAGAGUACCCGAAGAAAAAGCAUCGGCUAACUCCGUGCCAGCAGCCGCGGUAAUACGGAGGAUGCGAGCGUUAUCCGGAUUUAUUGGGUUUAAAGGGUGCGCAGGCGGAAGAUCAAGUCAGCGGUAAAAUCGCGAGGCUCAACCACGUCGAGCCGUUGAAACUGGUUGGCUUGAGUGAGUGAGAGGUAUGCGGAAUGCGUGGUGUAGCGGUGAAAUGCGUAGAUAUCACGCAGAACUCCGGUGGCGAAGGCAGCAUACCGGCGAUCAACUGACGCUCAGGCACGAAAGUGUGGGGAUCGAACAGGAUUAGAUACCCUAGUAGUC